GACGAACGCUGGCGGCGUGCUUAACACAUGCAAGUCGAGCGGUAAGGCCCUUUCGGGGGUACACGAGCGGCGAACGGGUGAGUAACACGUGGGUGACCUGCCCUCAGCUCUGGGGAUAAGCCCGGGAAACUAGGGUCUAAUACCGGAUAUGACUCCAUGACGCAUGUUGUGGGGUGGAAAGCCUUGUGCGGCUGAGGAUGGGCCCGCGGCCUAUCAGCUUGUUGGUGGGGUGAUGGCCUACCAAGGCGACGACGGGUAGCCGGCCUGAGAGGGCGACCGGCCACACUGGGACUGAGAUACGGCCCAGACUCCUACGGGAGGCAGCAGGUGGGGAAUCUUGCGCAAUGGGCG
This 351-nucleotide ribosomal RNA is filed under the name uncultured bacterium. RNAcentral's name for it is "bacterial SSU rRNA". It matches the Rfam family "Bacterial small subunit ribosomal RNA", at positions 28 to 377 of the family's 1533-position model. The record is from RNAcentral.